GCUUUUAUUAAAAAUGUUGACAAACAGCAACAAGAAAUGCUGAAUAUCAAAUGAAACAGUUCACAACAGGUGCUGGCACCUAUUUCUUUCCACUUCAAGCACUGAUUUUAUAUAAAAUGUAACUACAACUUUAAAUAUCAAGUGUAUGUAGUUAAAAUGAUUAAACACAACGUAAAUAUGUUUAAUAUAAAGUUAAUGUAAAAAAAAUCUAAUAAACUUUAUUAGAUAAAAUGUGCAACAGUAGAAGGAAACGUCAUUUUGCCUGUAUUCUUUUGACAGAGCUGGACAACAAGGACGUGUUUUCUGAGCAGCAUCAUGCAGAUGGAGGGCGCAGACUGGACUUCACACCUGUUGCUCAAGAGGGACCGUGUCCUCAGAAGCCUGUGUGAUUACCUCAAUGAGGACAGCAGGACUCUCAUCAAGUAGUACUUGGAUGUGAACAGUGAGGAAGCUAAGAGAGAGAUCGCACAGAGCACCAUGGGGCUCUAUCUGAUUUGCAGAAAAGGUGCUGAUGAAGAGGACAAGCCAGCGGAUGCUGGAGUGGUGGUCGAGGUUGUGGAACUGCUGAGAGAACUAGGAAGUAUUUGCUUUGGUUGUGCCAUGCUGUUUGGCCUGAUCCACACACUCAGCCUGAACUAUCCUCAAAUGUAAAUUUUAGUUCUACCAGAAGGUUUUAAUGAACCCAAAGGUGCAAACAUUAAAAAUUAAGAUGUUUCAGUGAGCUCUUGUGCUGGAUAGCCACAUUUAGGCUUAACAGACUUAACCAUUGUUCAUGUGGUUUAAAAACACAAACAGCGUAACGACUUAUUGGUCUGAUUAUUUCUGGCAUCUUCAAUUGCCACUUUGUGUUAACUUGCUUAUUUUGUUAAGAUUGGAGUGUUAUAGAUAUUGAACCUCUCUUGGACCAGUUCUGCGCUGAGAUGGUAUACUGUUAUACUACAUAUACUUUUUCAUGCAGGUAUUAAGGCCUUUUGCCUUUUUCAUGUUUCUCAUGUCUGACUUGUUCCCAUUCUGCAAUAAUAUCUCUAAGACUGACACUUGACAAUUUAAUGUUUUACAUUUUGCUGUAAUCCAGGUCCCGUCUUAGAACUGUAAGAUGUUCUUGGAGGGGGACGUAUAUAUGUGUGUGUAUUGUAGAUUGUAAAUGGAGAACAGCAUUAUCAUUUUUUCCCUAUGUGCUUGGAAGAUGGAGGCCUGUGCAUCACGCCGUCGGUCAGUCAGCAGUUAGGUCAGGAGGACCAUGUCCAAAUAUGUAAACAUGUAACUUGAGGUUGUAUUGUUCAGACUAUGUUAUCAUCAUAUUAGUGAGUAUUUGAUAAAAGGCUCUUUUGAAUGGUAAUCUAUGUUUUUUUAAGAUUAUUUUAUGUAUUUUAAGUUACUAUAGUAGAAAUACUUAUUCCAGUGCCUUAUUUCUUUUCUUCUUUAUUUUUUUUUAGCCUUUAUAGUACAGUUAGGUUUAUUAUACACUGGAAAACCUUGUGCACUUUGUCAUUAGCCGUUGUUUUUUUGCAAUAACAGGUCUUGCUGCUGUAAUGUUAAAAUUACUAUUGGCCAUGGUUGUAAUGAUUAUAAUAGAUCUGCCAAUAACAGUU
Long non-coding RNA from Micropterus salmoides (largemouth bass), 1592 nucleotides. RefSeq lists it as uncharacterized. The transcript has 4 exons. NCBI's taxonomy places the organism in Eukaryota, Metazoa, Chordata, Actinopteri, Centrarchiformes, Centrarchidae. The record is from RefSeq and is a predicted model, not a curated record.